ACCAUCAUCCGCUGGCAGCAGUAACACCCACAUAUCUGCUGCUGCUCUUGGUCGGCUCACUAUGCUUUCAAAGGAAUGGACUCUAUCUUGAUAAGAAUGGGAGGUCAGGAAAAAGAGUAGCUGAGAAACUGAUGCCUGUUCCAAAUACAAAAUCAAAUACAAAGCAAGCGGGUCAUUCUAAAAUGUGAAGCCAGCUGUGACCAAGGGAGGUGACACAAGCCUGUGGAAAGCUGGGAAAGAUUCAGAAAAAAACAGUCAUUGGGGGACAGACAAAUGAAAUCAACUACAGACAAUAACAAGGACAGAUGUGGCAAGAGCUCAUGAAUUAGUAAUAGAACAAAUUAAUAUGAUUAAGUCAUUUCUUUGGGCCUAGAG
Molecule: long non-coding RNA, 375 nt
Organism: Mastomys coucha (southern multimammate mouse)
Lineage: Eukaryota; Metazoa; Chordata; Mammalia; Rodentia; Muridae
Exons: 2
Source: RefSeq, a predicted model, not a curated record